AGAACGAACGCUGGCGGCAGGCUUAACACAUGCAAGUUGAACGGGGUUUGAUGGUAGCUUGCUAUCAUUGAUGAGAGUAGCGCACUGGUGAGUAACACGUGGGAACAUACCUUUUGGUGGGGGAUAGCAGCUGGAAACGGUUGGUAAUACCGCAUAAGCCCUAAGGGGGAAAGAUUAAUUGCCGAAAGAUUGGCCCGCGGAAGAUUAGGUAGUUGGUGGGGUAAAGGCCUACCAAGCCUACGAUCUAUAGCUGGUCUGAGAGGACGAUCAGCCACAUUGGAACUGAGACACGGUCCAGACUCCUACGGGAGGCAGCAGUGAGGAAUAUUGGGCAAUGGAGGGAACUCUGACCCAGCCAUGCCGCGUGAGUGAGAAGGUCUUCGGAUUGUAAAGCUCUUUUAUGCAGGAAGAUGAUGACAGUACUGCAAGAAAAAGCACCGGCAAACUUCGUG
This 452-nucleotide ribosomal RNA is filed under the name uncultured bacterium. Its description in RNAcentral is "bacterial SSU rRNA". It matches the Rfam family "Bacterial small subunit ribosomal RNA", at positions 26 to 507 of the family's 1533-position model. The record is from RNAcentral.